GUGUCGUCGGUGCCGCGAGCCGCGGGAGGAAGGGGGGGCGAAACGUGGUGUGGAUUGACUGUGCGUAAAUGGCGUGUGGGCGGUUCGGUAAGUGGACGGUGAAAGCCCCCGGGUGGCUCGGGGAACUGCAUCCCAUACUGCUGGAGUUGAGUGCGGGAGAGGAUGGAGGAAUUGCUGGUGUAGCGGUGAAAUGCGUAGAUAUCAGGAGGAACACCUGUGGCGAAGGCGUCCAUCUGGCCCGUUACUGACGCUGAUGCGCGAAAGCUAGGGGAGCAAACGGGAUUAGAGACCCGAGUAGUC
RNAcentral lists this ribosomal RNA (300 nucleotides) under uncultured Corynebacterium sp. RNAcentral describes it as "bacterial SSU rRNA". The stretch from base 52 to 300 matches the Rfam family "Bacterial small subunit ribosomal RNA", at positions 547 to 795 of the family's 1533-position model. The record is from RNAcentral. Lineage: Bacteria; Bacillati; Actinomycetota; Actinomycetes; Mycobacteriales; Corynebacteriaceae.